RNAcentral lists this ribosomal RNA (550 nucleotides) under uncultured bacterium. Its description in RNAcentral is "bacterial SSU rRNA". It matches the Rfam family "Bacterial small subunit ribosomal RNA", at positions 355 to 896 of the family's 1533-position model. The record is from RNAcentral.
UAGGGAAUCUUCGGCAAUGGACGGAAGUCUGACCGAGCAACGCCGCGUGAGUGAAGAAGGUUUUCGGAUCGUAAAGCUCUGUUGUAAGAGAAGAACGAGUGUGAGAGUGGAAAGUUCACACUGUAACGGUAUCUUACCAGAAAGGGACGGCUAACUACGUGCCAGCAGCCGCGGUAAUACGUAGGUCCCGAGCGUUGUCCGGAUUUAUUGGGCGUAAAGCGAGCGCAGGCGGUUAGAUAAGUCUGAAGUUAAAGGCUGUGGCUUAACCAUAGUACGCUUUGGAAACUGUUUAACUUGAGUGCAAGAGGGGAGAGUGGAAUUCCAUGUGUAGCGGUGAAAUGCGUAGAUAUAUGGAGGAACACCGGUGGCGAAAGCGGCUCUCUGGCUUGUAACUGACGCUGAGGCUCGAAAGCGUGGGGAGCAAACAGGAUUAGAUACCCUGGUAGUCCACGCCGUAAACGAUGAGUGCUAGGUGUUAGACCCUUUCCGGGGUUUAGUGCCGUAGCUAACGCAUUAAGCACUCCGCCUGGGGAGUACGACCGCAAGGUUG